GCUGAUGUGGCACAGUCGGUUAGCGCGUCGUACUUAUAGGCAGUACGGAAAUGAGAAGGUCGAGAGUUCGAUCCUCUCCAGGAGCA
Molecule: transfer RNA, 86 nt
Filed under: Nematostella vectensis (starlet sea anemone)
Lineage: Eukaryota; Metazoa; Cnidaria; Anthozoa; Actiniaria; Edwardsiidae
Rfam family: tRNA
About the family: Transfer RNA (tRNA) molecules are approximately 80 nucleotides in length. Their secondary structure includes four short double-helical elements and three loops (D, anti-codon, and T loops).
Source: Rfam by way of RNAcentral